CCGCCUUCUGGGGAUUUCUCUGACUCAGAUUUUUGAGGAUUUCGCUGACUCCUCUGGCGAGGAUUUCGCUGACUCCUCUGGCGAGGACUUCGCUGCUCCUCUGGUCAGUCGGAUUUUAUCCACUACAUCCACAGCCCAGCCAGUAGUCGAAGCCCAGCAAGAAGAGCCAGACGAGCCCAGCCUAGCCCAACGUCGGACGCGCCGCGAGAUUAAGAAGCCAGCCCGUUUCAAUGUUUAAUGGCCCAUUUUAUUUUCUUUGUUGCGUCGCCUAGGUCAUAUAUAUUAGACUAGGGUUUUGUUUGUUGCUUAUGUUAUGAAUAUUUUGAUUGAGAACUGAUUCUUGCGUGAUCGUGAGAGUUUGAUUUGGAGUUUCACGUUCUCCUCAACGUGAUUAUUAAUACAUCUCGUAUUAAAUUGUCUUCCUCAAAC
RNAcentral lists this long non-coding RNA (429 nucleotides) under Salvia miltiorrhiza (redroot sage). RNAcentral's name for it is "long non-coding RNA (SMIL_LNC012143)". The record is from RNAcentral. Lineage: Eukaryota; Viridiplantae; Streptophyta; Magnoliopsida; Lamiales; Lamiaceae.